GACGAACGCUGGCGGCGUGCUUAACACAUGCAAGUCGAACGGGAUUUAGUAGACAGAAGCCUCGGCUAAAGAUUACUAAUGAGAGUGGCGAACGGGUGAGUAACGCGUGAGCAACCUGCCUAUGACAGUGGGAUAGCCUCGGGAAACCGGGAUUAAUACCGCAUAAAAUCGUAGAAACACAUGUUUUAACGGUCAAAGAUUUAUCGGUCAUAGAUGGGCUCGCGUCUGAUUAGCUAGUUGGUGAGAUAACAGCCCACCAAGGCGACGAUCAGUAGCCGGUCUGAGAGGAUAAACGGCCACAUUGGAACUGAGACACGGUCCAAACUCCUACGGGAGGCAGCAGUGGGGAAUAUUGCACAAUGGGGGAAACCCUGAUGCAGCGACGCCGCGUGAACGAAGAAGGUAUUCGUAUCGUAAAGUUCUGUCCUAUGGGAAGAUAAUGACAGUACCAUAGAAGAAAGCUCCGGCUAAAUACGUG
This 478-nucleotide ribosomal RNA is filed under the name uncultured bacterium. Its description in RNAcentral is "partial 16S ribosomal RNA". It matches the Rfam family "Bacterial small subunit ribosomal RNA", at positions 28 to 507 of the family's 1533-position model. The record is from RNAcentral.